This is a small nuclear RNA of Myodes glareolus (Bank vole), 105 nucleotides long. Lineage: Eukaryota; Metazoa; Chordata; Mammalia; Rodentia; Cricetidae. The record is from RefSeq and is a predicted model, not a curated record.
GCUCUCUUUGGCAGCACAGAUGCUAAAAUUGGGAUGAUACAGAGAAGAUUACCAUGGUCCCUGUGCAAGGAUGACACACAAAUUCAUGAAGAAGUCUGUAUUUAU